Molecule: ribosomal RNA, 1224 nt
Filed under: activated sludge metagenome
Description: bacterial LSU rRNA
Rfam family: Bacterial large subunit ribosomal RNA
Source: RNAcentral
UGAAUAAUAAACGGGCAUAAGAAUAGUACCGAAGCUAUGGAUGUGUAGUAAUACACGUGGUAGGGGAGCAUUCUAACGUCAGCGAAGGUGUGGCAUGAGCCAUGCUGGAGAUUUUAGAAAAGCAAAUGUAGGCAUAAGUAACGAUAAUAAAGGUGAAAAACCUUUACGCCGAUAGUCUAAGGUUUCCUGAUCAAUGUUAAUCAGAUCAGGGUUAGUCGGGUCCUAAGGCAAACCGAUUUAGGGAAGUCGAUGGCAAACAGGUUAAUAUUCCUGUACCAGCUGAGAGGGACGGAGAGUUGUAGUAGUUACGUACUGACGGAAAUGUACGUUGAGCAUAGCCCUCGGGCGAAGCGAAGCUAUGAAAGCUCUUCCAAGAAAAGCUCCAGCAAUAGCCCGUACCGCAAACCGACACAGGUAGACAAGGAGAGAAUCCUGAGGCGCUCGAGUGAAUCGUGGUUAAGGAACUCGGCAAAUUAACCCUGUAACUUCGGGAAAAGGGGAGCUCUUAUAAUAAUAGGAGCCGCAGAGAAAUGGUCCAGGCGACUGUUUAGCAAAAACACAUAGAUCUGCUAAAACGAAAGUUGAUGUAUAGGUCUUGACACCUGCCCGGUGCUGGAAGGUUAAGAGGGGGGGUUAGCCGCAAGGCGAAGCUCUGAAUCGAAGCCCCAGUAAACGGCGGCCGUAACUAUAACGGUCCUAAGGUAGCGAAAUUCCUUGUCGGGUAAGUUCCGACCUGCACGAAUGGUGUAACGAUCUGGACGCUGUCUCAACCACGAGCUCGGUGAAAUUGUAGUAUCGGUGAAGAUGCCGGUUAACCGCAACGGGACGGAAAGACCCCAUGCACCUUCACUACAGCUUUGCAUUGGUUUUGGUUAAAUGAUGUGUAGGAUAGGUGGGAGACUUUGAAGCGGCGUCGCUAGGCGUUGUGGAGUCAUUGUUGAAAUACCACCCUUCAUUUAAUUGAAAUCUAAUCCCGCUAAGCGGGAGACAUUGCAUGGUGGGUAGUUUGACUGGGGUGGUCGCCUCCGAAAGUGUAUCGGAGGCUUUCAAAGGUAUCUUCAGUACGGUCGGUAAUCGUGCGUAGAGUGCAAUAGCAUAAAGAUGCUUGACUGCGAGACCCACAAGUCGAGCAGGGUCGAAAGACGGAUAUAGUGAUCCGGUGGUUCUGAAUGGAAGGGCCAUCGCUCAUAGGAUAAAAGGUACGCUGGGGAUAACAGGCUGAUC